RNAcentral lists this ribosomal RNA (589 nucleotides) under Trichoderma koningiopsis. RNAcentral's name for it is "eukaryotic LSU rRNA". The stretch from base 201 to 354 matches the Rfam family "5.8S ribosomal RNA". Lineage: Eukaryota; Fungi; Ascomycota; Sordariomycetes; Hypocreales; Hypocreaceae. The record is from RNAcentral.
AGCGGAGGGAUCAUUACCGAGUUUACAACUCCCAAACCCAAUGUGAACCAUACCAAACUGUUGCCUCGGCGGGGUCACGCCCCGGGUGCGUCGCAGCCCCGGAACCAGGCGCCCGCCGGAGGGACCAACCAAACUCUUUCUGUAGUCCCCUCGCGGACGUUAUUUCUUACAGCUCUGAGCAAAAAUUCAAAAUGAAUCAAAACUUUCAACAACGGAUCUCUUGGUUCUGGCAUCGAUGAAGAACGCAGCGAAAUGCGAUAAGUAAUGUGAAUUGCAGAAUUCAGUGAAUCAUCGAAUCUUUGAACGCACAUUGCGCCCGCCAGUAUUCUGGCGGGCAUGCCUGUCCGAGCGUCAUUUCAACCCUCGAACCCCUCCGGGGGGUCGGCGUUGGGGAUCGGGAACCCCUAAGACGGGAUCCCGGCCCCGAAAUACAGUGGCGGUCUCGCCGCAGCCUCUCCUGCGCAGUAGUUUGCACAACUCGCACCGGGAGCGCGGCGCGUCCACGUCCGUAAAACACCCAACUUCUGAAAUGUUGACCUCGGGAUCAGGUAGGAAUACCCGCUGAACUUAAGCAAUAUCAAUAAGCGGA